UACAGAGGGUGCGAGCGUUGUCCGGAAUCACUGGGCGUAAAGGGCGCGUAGGUGGCGGCCCAAGUCCAUGGUGAAAGCUCGAUGCUCAACAUCGAGUCGGCCACGGAUACUGGGUUGCUCGAGCACUGUAGGGGCAGAUGGAAUUCCGGGUGUAGCGGUGGAAUGCGUAGAGAGUCCGGAAGAACACCGGUGGCGAAGGCGGUCUGCUGGGCGAGUUGCUGGACACUGGAGGCGCGACAGCGUGGGGAGCAAACAGGG
This 258-nucleotide ribosomal RNA is filed under the name uncultured bacterium. Its description in RNAcentral is "partial 16S ribosomal RNA". It matches the Rfam family "Bacterial small subunit ribosomal RNA", at positions 524 to 777 of the family's 1533-position model. The record is from RNAcentral.